RNAcentral lists this ribosomal RNA (253 nucleotides) under uncultured bacterium. Its description in RNAcentral is "partial 16S ribosomal RNA". It matches the Rfam family "Bacterial small subunit ribosomal RNA", at positions 524 to 776 of the family's 1533-position model. The record is from RNAcentral.
UACGUAGGUGGCAAGCGGUGUCCGGAUUUAUUGGGUUUAAAGGGUGCGUAGGCGGUUUAUUAAGUCAGUGGUGAAAGACGAUAGCUUAACUAUCGAGGUGCCAUUGAUACUGAUGAACUUGAGUGCACACGAGGUAAGCGGAAUGGACGGUGUAGCGGUGAAAUGCAUAGAUAUCGUCCAGAACACCGAUAGUGAAGACAGCUUACCAGAGUGCAACUGACGCUGAGGCACGAAAGUGUGGGGAUCAAACAGG